UACAAUGUUAUAACUUUUCGUUUUAUUUGAUUUUUUUAUUAAUAUUUUUAUUGAUACUAGACGAUAAAAUAUGAAUAUUAUUUUAUGCAUGACUAAUUUUUUAAAGUUUUUUUAUAAAAUUUUUAAAUAAGAUGAAUAGUCGAACGUUGGACACAGAAA
RNAcentral lists this microRNA precursor (159 nucleotides) under Oryza brachyantha (malo sina). Its description in RNAcentral is "MIR812 microRNA precursor family". It matches the Rfam family "MIR812 microRNA precursor family", at positions 27 to 187 of the family's 205-position model. The record is from Rfam by way of RNAcentral. Lineage: Eukaryota; Viridiplantae; Streptophyta; Magnoliopsida; Poales; Poaceae.